GACGAACGCUGGCGGCGUGCUUAACACAUGCAAGUCGAACGGAAAGGCCCUGCUUUUGUGUGGUGCUCGAGUGGCGAACGGGUGAGUAACACGUGUGUAUCCUGCCCUUGUCUUUGGGAUAACUUCAGGAAACUGGGGCUCAUACCGGAUAGGAGCUCCUGCUGCAUGGUGGGGGUUGGAAAGUUUCGGCGGUUGGGGAUGGACUCGCGGCUUAUCAGCUUGUUGGUGGGGUAGUGGCUUACCAAGGCUUUGACGGGUAGCCGGCCUGAGAGGGUGACCGGCCACAUGGGGACUGAGAGACGGCCCAGACUCCUACGGGAGGCAGCAGGGGAGAAUAUUGCACAAUGGGCGGAAGCCUGAGGCAGCAACGCCGCGUGCGGGAUGACGGCCUUCGGGUUGUAAACCGCUUUCGCCUGUGACGAAGCGUGAGUGACGGUAAUGGGUAAAGAAGCACCGGCUAACUACGUG
This 468-nucleotide ribosomal RNA is filed under the name uncultured bacterium. RNAcentral describes it as "partial 16S ribosomal RNA". It matches the Rfam family "Bacterial small subunit ribosomal RNA", at positions 28 to 507 of the family's 1533-position model. The record is from RNAcentral.